GUGAAAAGCACCCCGGAAGGGGAGUGAAAGAGAUCCUGAAACCGUGUGCCUACAACUAGUCAGAGCCCGUUAACGGGUGAUGGCGUGCCUUUUGUAGAAUGAACCGGCGAGUUACGGUAUCGUGCAAGGUUAAGCUGAUGAAGCGGAGCCGCAGCGAAAGCGAGUCUGAAUAGGGCGCAUAAGUACGAUGCCGUAGACCCGAAACCGGGUGAUCUACCCAUGUCCAGGGUGAAGGUCGGGUAACACCGACUGGAGGCCCGAACCCACGCAAGUUGAAAAUUGCGGGGAUGAGGUGUGGGUAGGGGUGAAAUGCCAAUCGAACUCGGAAAUAGCUGGUUCUCCCCGAAAUAGCUUUAGGGCUAGCCUCGAGUGAUGAGUCUUGGAGGUAGAGCACUGAUUGGACGAGGGGUCCCCACAGGAUUACCGAAUUCAGUCAAACUCCGAAUGCCAAUGACUUUAACUCGGGAGUCAGACUGCGAGUGCUAAGAUCCGUAGUCAAGAGGGAAACAGCCCAGACCAUCAGCUAAGGUCCCCAAGUAUACGUUAAGUGGAAAAGGAUGUGGAGUUGCCCAGACAACCAGGAUGUUGGCUUAGAAGCAGCCAUCAUUGAAAGAGUGCGUAAUAGCUCACUGGUCGAGUGA
RNAcentral lists this ribosomal RNA (641 nucleotides) under Virgibacillus sp. 7505. RNAcentral's name for it is "bacterial LSU rRNA". It matches the Rfam family "Bacterial large subunit ribosomal RNA", at positions 514 to 1156 of the family's 2925-position model. Lineage: Bacteria; Bacillati; Bacillota; Bacilli; Caryophanales; Bacillaceae. The record is from RNAcentral.